RNA transcript from Belonocnema kinseyi, 2358 nucleotides. It is a transcript of the gene named odorant receptor 67a-like, with no coding region annotated. NCBI's taxonomy places the organism in Eukaryota, Metazoa, Arthropoda, Insecta, Hymenoptera, Cynipidae. The record is from RefSeq and is a predicted model, not a curated record. The transcript is spliced from 10 exons.
GAGCGAUGGACUUCUUUGAUCAAAGUUAUUUUAGACUCACUAAAGUAUUGAUGUGCUGUAUUGGACAAUGGCCUUAUCAACCCACAUAUCAAAGGAUUAUUAUUUCUAGUUUUAUUUCGUUCAUGCAUAUCACUUUCUUUAUUACAUUGAUUAGCGGUAUUGCAAAUUCAAAUAAUUUCGAUGACUCAAUUAAUAUUUUAACAGCUAUUAUUAUGUCUACAACGUGCUAUUCAAAAUUAAUAAAUUCUGUUCUUCUUAUGAAAGAGAUGAAAUACCUUUUGGGUGAAAUAAAAACAGACUGGUCAAUAGUAUCUGGACCAGAAGUUAAUAUCUUAAAAAAAUUUGCUGUCAGAGGACAAAAAUUAUCAUUGAUGUAUGUUGCUUACAUUUACUUCGUAGUGAGCGUAUAUUUAGUUACUACUUACAUACCACAAAUGCUUAAUAUUAUUAAACCUUUAAAUGUGUCAAGGCCAAGAAAAAGGACUUAUAAAUCAAACUAUUUUAUUGAUGAAGAUAAAUAUUACUAUCAUAUAAACUUUCAUGAACAGAUAACGGUUGUAUUAAAUAUGACAACAUUUUUAACUAUGGAUGCAAUGUAUGUAGUAUACACUGAACAUAUUUGUGGAAUGUUCGCAAUUCUUGGGUAUCGAAUCGAGAAUCUCUUCAAGGACAAAAUUAAUCAUUCUGAAUUGUCAGAAGACUGUUCUCUUCAAGAUGAUGAAAAGCUCACAAAAGAAGUUUCGGGAUGUCUACUCUUACACCAAAAAAAUAUCGAAUAUGCGAAAAAGCUUGGCGCGGCUUUCUCAGCAUCUGUAUUUUGUCAAGUUGGACUCAGUAUGAUUUUACUAAGCAUAACUGGAUACGUGACCAUUAUAAAAUUAGACGCACCAGAUGAAUUUAUGAAAUUCUUCUCGUACGUUUUGGGCCAAAUAGUUUACAUUUUUUAUAUCUGCCUGCCAGGUCAAAAAAUAAUGGACGCCAGUGAAAACAUUGUUAGCGCGCUUUAUAAUUCGCAGUGGUACCUAAUGCCAUUAAAAAUCCGAAGAGAUUUUAUAGUGAUAAUGAUUAGAAGUGCUCGUCCAUGCUGUCUUGAAGCAGGUGGAAUUUUCACACUCUCGCUGUUAACUUUUAGCGUGAACUAUUUGCAGUGUAUCCAGAAAGCAUUCUCCUUUUUUACAAUGAUAAUGAAUGUAAGGGAAAUUUAAUAGGAAAUAUAAACUACAGUAAAGAUAUUUUUUUACAAUAAGCGCACCGCAAAUUCGGCUUGCGCUCCCUUUUGAGUGACAGUGAGGCAAAAAAUGAGACUCGAUUCUGAGGAAACGAUAACACUGGACCUGCAUGAUAAUUCUUUUCAGACUAGAUGGAGCUAUGAAUUAAAAGCUAUUGAAAUUAAAUGUUACCUGAAAAAGAUAUUCUCCUUCGCUCCGCUAGGAAUCGAACCACAGACCUCCCGAUUGCCGGUUGGGUACUUUUCCCUUAAACUACUGGAGAGAUCGAAAGAAGAAUCCUUUUUCAGAAAUACACGCAUUAUUUUGCCAGGAGUUACGUAUUCAACUUUCUCAUGGAAUCUGUAUUAUCUUCAGAGAAUAGCAUACAUUCUUAACGUCUUUUCAGACUAGAUGGAGCUAUACAUGAAAAUUAUUGAAAUUAAAUGUUAUCUGAAAAAGAUGUUCUCCUUCGCUCCGCUGGGAAUCGAACCACAGACUUUCCGAUUUGCAGUUUGGUACUUUUCCCUUAAGCUAGUUGAGAGAUCGAAAAAAGAGUCUUUUUCAGAAAUACACACAUUAUUUUUCCAGGUGUUACGUACUCAAAUUUUGCAAGGAAUCUGUAUUGUCAUCAGAGAAUAACAGAAAUUCUUUAAGUCAUUUCAAACUAGAUGGUGCUACGAAUUUAAAGUUUUUAAAUUAUUUUUUUAAUUUCUAAAAAAGGUCUUCUUUCCGGAAGAGGAUUCUUCGAGCUCUCUAGUAGCUUAAGGGAAAACACCCGACCCGAAAUCGCAAGUUCUAUUUUUCGAUUACCAGCAAAGCGAAGAAGAUCUUUUUUAAAAAAAUCAUAAAAAAAUGGAAACUACGAGGUUAUAUACGGUACUGUUUUAUAUUAUAUAUACAUGUAUAUUAUUUACUGUAGAGGCAGUGAAAGUCGAACUUUCGAUGCGCGUGGUAUGAAAAGGAAUAAAAAAUUUGCGGCACCUCUUUAAAAACAAGAUUUUUAUUGACUAGGAAAUAUAUUUUAACUGAAUUUAUUCAAAGUAGAGGCACGAUUAACCAAAUAAUAAUAUACCAAUAAAGAAAUAAAGAAAAUAAAGUAGUAUAUUUUGCCGGACUUUUUCUGUGAGUAAUGAAAAAACACGAGUCGUAA